UUACGUCCAUAUCAUGUUGAAACACCGGUUGCCGUAUGAUGACCGAAGUUAAGUAACGUCGGACCUGGUCAACACCUAGAUGGGUGACCACUUGGGAAUACCAGGUGCUGUAA
Non-coding RNA from Acanthosepion pharaonis, 113 nucleotides. NCBI's taxonomy places the organism in Eukaryota, Metazoa, Mollusca, Cephalopoda, Sepiida, Sepiidae. The record is from the annotation of a GenBank genome assembly.